UCCAUUUCUUUUUCUUUCCUCCGUUUUCCUUCCUCGACCCGCGCCCCGCGCCACCCGUCGUCGUUUCUCCUUCUUUUCCCCAACCGAUGCGCCGCCGCCACCCUUCCUCGUCGUUUCUCCUCCCUCCGGUACAAAAGUCGUGGCCCAGGGUUUUGCAACCCUUUCUCUUCCUCUUCCCCUUUGGCUCCCGCGACGCCGAAGCUCCUCUUCACCUCUACCUCGAUCCUCCUUGCGCCGACGCGGAGCCCUAGAGCUCGAGCCACCGCCCAAUCGCCGGAAGGAAGGGCCAAUGUCAACCCUCAUCUCACUGAGCCCUAGCCCCGGCCGACCCGCGACUCCCUCCCUUCCCCUUCGCCGGCACUUGAGCAAGAGUCGACCAACCUUUCUCCUCGAGCCAACAACCGAAGCUGCUGGAUCGGGCCAGACCCUCCGACCGCCGGCGUGAACGGGAUAGUUAGGGCUUCGAGGGUGAGAGAUUGGAUCUCCCUCUCUGCUCACUAUCUCUCCCCUGUUCUUGAGCCGUGCCCUAGUUCCGAGCCAGCAAGGUUGAGGUUGUUCAGGAGGUUCCAGUCGCUAGUCCCCCACCACUGCGUGUCACGACGAGUUCGCACAUUUUGGUUUCUGUUAUUGUUUAUGUUAUUUAGACUAUGUUUUCAGACUUGUAGCUUUUAGCAUUUCGAUCUUAUACGUUUUGUUAUGUGCCGAUGAGUUUUUAUUUGAAUGUAUGUUGGAGUUUUGUGUUUUA
Molecule: long non-coding RNA, 745 nt
Organism: Zingiber officinale
Lineage: Eukaryota; Viridiplantae; Streptophyta; Magnoliopsida; Zingiberales; Zingiberaceae
Exons: 2
Source: RefSeq, a predicted model, not a curated record